Molecule: unclassified non-coding RNA, 260 nt
Filed under: uncultured fungus
Lineage: Eukaryota; Fungi
Description: sequence contains ITS1
Source: RNAcentral
AUUUCCCCCCUCUUAGCAAUUAAGUGUAUACUGUGUGUGAACCGGGGUGCCUCUUAACGGUUGGUCGUAUACGGCCUGGAUAGCAGAGGCUAAGUGAACGAGAAGCCGACGGUCAGCCCCGAUUUCUUUUCUUCACUCGUCAACGUAGUCUGUAGGUAGCAAAGAGACGCCUAAAGACUGCGCGAACACCACGGCGUCUUCACGAGAGAGAUAGGGCACGUCCAGAGCGUCGGCGAGCUUGGCAACUCUCUCCUCUACCC